This 44-nucleotide non-coding RNA is filed under the name Echinostoma caproni. Lineage: Eukaryota; Metazoa; Platyhelminthes; Trematoda; Plagiorchiida; Echinostomatidae. The record is from RNAcentral.
GCACUGCUGACGAGUCGAAAAAGGACGAAACAGCUGUCCAGUGC